RNAcentral lists this long non-coding RNA (1114 nucleotides) under Zostera marina. Its description in RNAcentral is "long non-coding RNA (ZMAR_LNC002676)". Lineage: Eukaryota; Viridiplantae; Streptophyta; Magnoliopsida; Alismatales; Zosteraceae. The record is from RNAcentral.
UCAGACUCAACCCUUCUUUAUUAAUCAUAACUCUUCACAUUCUUUUUUAGGAAUUCUCAUAUAUAUUUAAUUCUAUAUCCAUCCAUAAUUAAUUUCAUAUCCAUAAUCAAUAUUAAACACACAAUUAACCACAUAGUCGUUGGGUACGGUGUUUACUAUUGAAGUUUAUCUAAACCUACAUAAUUAGUACGUUCUUACACUCCAUAAGUUUUUAAUUACACAUUCAAACUCUGAUCUUCAAUACAACUGAUGAUUUGCUCAUCGCUUCCGAACAACAACACGAGUGGAUUACUAUCCAUCACAGAAUCUGCAACAUUGUCUUUGCGUUAUUAUACCAAUACAUUGGAUUAUCGAGUCAUCACCUGACCAACCGAUCAUCCAACAAUAUCGCUAUUAUAUACUUAAGCAUUAUCAUAUUUAUCAUCUAGCAUACAUUCAUAAUAUUGUUUUAAGUAUUAACCAAAGACAUUCAAUUUCUCCCAAGAUAUAUAUUUUCAUAUUUGUAUAUCUCUAUCAGUCAUAUGAAGAUAGGGAUCAUCUAUUCUUUGAGUGCACAUACUCAAUUAUGGUUUGAGUCUCAAAGAAGGUGAUUUGAAGUUAUGAAGCAUUUGUGUAUCACAUUUGGUUGGAGAAGAGGUGUAGGAGAAGUUUGAGAAGACUAGCUUGGAGGCACAAGAAAUCGCUAGAAGGAUCAUCUCGAACGUUAAAUCUUCUUUUAAUGUCUUGAGAUUUAAGCAUAAGUGUGAUUAUCAUUUAGAAAGUGUUGUAUUAGAUAAAUGGGAUAGAAGUCGAACCUUAUAGAUAUGCAUAAUGGACAGGGAAGCAUUAAUCCAAGACAUACGAAACAAGAUGGAAGUAUCGGACGACGAGGAAGGUGAGUUGGAGUUACCUGAGGAGGAAGAAGACAUCGGCGAUUGGUAAGACAUAGAAGAGGAGUGUUCACUCUUAAUUCCAAAAUUUAUGAAUACCCCUCUAUUGCCUCGUUCGUCUUGCCCUAGUCUUAUUUUUGGGGACGGGUCUCAAUCCAAGCCUGUCUCGUUUUCAUCCCUAUUACUUAAUUGAUUAAAUAUUUUAGGAUUUUGGAGAAUCCUCAAUAUUAAUUUUUGACCUAAAG